Non-coding RNA from Stegodyphus mimosarum, 73 nucleotides. NCBI's taxonomy places the organism in Eukaryota, Metazoa, Arthropoda, Arachnida, Araneae, Eresidae. The record is from Rfam.
GCCUUCGUGGUGUAGUGGUCAGCACACUAAGCCGGUAUUUCAGAGGUCCGUGGUUCGAUUCCCGGCGAAGGCC